RNAcentral lists this ribosomal RNA (253 nucleotides) under uncultured bacterium. RNAcentral describes it as "partial 16S ribosomal RNA". It matches the Rfam family "Bacterial small subunit ribosomal RNA", at positions 524 to 776 of the family's 1533-position model. The record is from RNAcentral.
UACGGAGGGGGCUAGCGUUGUUCGGAAUUACUGGGCGUAAAGCGCGCGUAGGCGGACCUGCAAGUCGGGGGUGAAAGCCCGAGGCUCAACCUCGGAACUGCCUUCGAUACUGCGGGUCUCGAGUCCGGGAGAGGUGAGUGGAAUUCCUAGUGUAGAGGUGAAAUUCGUAGAUAUUAGGAAGAACACCAGUGACGAAGGCGGCUCACUGGCCCGGUACUGACGCUGAGGCGCGAAAGCGUGGGGAGCAAACAGG